UUCACUCUUGAAAACUGCCCAGCACU
RNAcentral lists this non-coding RNA (26 nucleotides) under Mus musculus (house mouse). The record is from RNAcentral. Lineage: Eukaryota; Metazoa; Chordata; Mammalia; Rodentia; Muridae.